This 341-nucleotide unclassified non-coding RNA is filed under the name uncultured fungus. Its description in RNAcentral is "partial contains 5.8S ribosomal RNA and internal transcribed spacer 2". The stretch from base 1 to 133 matches the Rfam family "5.8S ribosomal RNA", at positions 22 to 154 of the family's 154-position model. Lineage: Eukaryota; Fungi. The record is from RNAcentral.
UGGCUCUGGCAUCGAUGAAGAACGCAGCGAAAUGCGAUAAGUAAUGUGAAUUGCAGAAUUCAGUGAAUCAUCGAAUCUUUGAACGCACAUUGCGCCCGCCAGUAUUCUGGCGGGCAUGCCUGUCCGAGCGUCAUUUCAACCCUCAUGCCCCCAGUGCAUGGCGUUGGGGAUCGGCGUGGCGUCCUCCGGGACGCUGCCGGCCCCGAAAUUCAGUGGCGGUCUCGCUGUAGCCCUCCUCCGCGUAGUAGCACAACCUCGCGGCCUGGAGCUCGGCGGUGGCCAUGCCGUAAAACACCCCACUUCUGAAAGUUGACCUCGGAUCAGGUAGGAAUACCCGCUGA